GCCAAUGAUGCCAAUUUGAGUUUUGCUGAAGUUGCAAAAUUUGCUAGUGUUGAAACUCAUGAACUAGGACGGUCUGAGGC
Small nucleolar RNA from Ziziphus jujuba (common jujube), 80 nucleotides. RefSeq annotates it as small nucleolar RNA snoR20a. Lineage: Eukaryota; Viridiplantae; Streptophyta; Magnoliopsida; Rosales; Rhamnaceae. The transcript has a single exon. The record is from RefSeq and is a predicted model, not a curated record.